RNAcentral lists this ribosomal RNA (497 nucleotides) under uncultured bacterium. Its description in RNAcentral is "partial 16S ribosomal RNA". It matches the Rfam family "Bacterial small subunit ribosomal RNA", at positions 28 to 507 of the family's 1533-position model. The record is from RNAcentral.
GACGAACGCUGGCGGCGUGCCUAAUACAUGCAAGUCGAGCGGUGACGGAUGGUACUUGUACCAUCUGGGUGAGCAGCGAACGGGUGAGUAACGCGUGGGGCAUCUGCUUUUGAGCGGGGGACAACAUUUGGAGACGACUGCUAAUACCACAUAAAACCUUUAAACACAAGAAUCAGGUUUGAAAGAGGCCAUUGCAUCACUCAUGGAUGAUCCCGCGUUGUAUUAGCUAGUUGGGGAGGUAAAGGCCCACCAAGGCGAUGAUACAUAGCCGACCUGAGAGGGUGAUCGGCCACAUUUGGACUGAGACACGGCUCAAACUUCUACGAGAGGCAGCAGUAGGGGAACUUCGGCCAUGGACGAAAGUCUGACCGAGCAACGCCGCGGUAGUUAAGGAGGUUUUCGGAUCUUAAAACUCUGUUUGUAGGGAAGAACGUUGAGGAGGGUAGAAAGCUCAUCAAGUGACGGUAACUACCCAGAAAGCGACGGCUAACUACGUG